This 86-nucleotide transfer RNA is filed under the name Mycolicibacterium thermoresistibile. Its description in RNAcentral is "tRNA-Trp(cca)". Lineage: Bacteria; Bacillati; Actinomycetota; Actinomycetes; Mycobacteriales; Mycobacteriaceae. The record is from RNAcentral.
GCGUGCGCGUUGACGUGGUCGAUGUCGGUCGGCUCCAGCCCGGCCAGGUAGAUGGCGCGGCCGAUCGCCUCGGCGGCGCACUCACC